AUGAACGCUAGCGGGAGGCCUAACACAUGCAAGCCGAGCGGUAUUGUUUCUUCGGAAAUGAGAGAGCGGCGUACGGGUGCGUAACACGUGUGCAACCUGCCUUUAUCUGGGGGAUAGCCUUUCGAAAGGAAGAUUAAUACUCCAUAAUAUAUUGAACGGCAUCGUUUAAUAUUGAAAGCUCCGGCGGAUAGAGAUGGGCACGCGCAAGAUUAGCUAGUUGGUGAGGUAACGGCUCACCAAGGCGAUGAUCUUUAGGGGGCCUGAGAGGGUGAUCCCCCACACUGGUACUGAGACACGGACCAGACUCCUACGGGAGGCAGCAGUGAGGAAUAUUGGUCAAUGGGUGCAAGCCUGAACCAGCCAUCCCGUGUGAAGGACGACUGCCCUAUGGGUUGUAAACUUCUUUUGUAUAGGGAUAAACCUACCCUCGAGAGGGUAGCUGAAGGUACUAUACGAAUAAGCACCGGCUAACUCCGUG
This 478-nucleotide ribosomal RNA is filed under the name uncultured bacterium. Its description in RNAcentral is "partial 16S ribosomal RNA". It matches the Rfam family "Bacterial small subunit ribosomal RNA", at positions 29 to 507 of the family's 1533-position model. The record is from RNAcentral.